RNAcentral lists this ribosomal RNA (460 nucleotides) under uncultured bacterium. RNAcentral's name for it is "partial 16S ribosomal RNA". It matches the Rfam family "Bacterial small subunit ribosomal RNA", at positions 338 to 795 of the family's 1533-position model. The record is from RNAcentral.
CCUACGGGAGGCAGCAGUGAGGAAUAUUGGACAAUGGACGAGAGUCUGAACCAGCCAAGUAGCGUGAAGGAUGACUGCCCUAUGGGUUGUAAACUUCUUUUAUAUGGGAAUAAAAUGUUCCACGUGUGGGAUUUUGUAUGUACCAUAUGAAUAAGGAUCGGCUAACUCCGUGCCAGCAGCCGCGGUAAUACGGAGGAUCCGAGCGUUAUCCGGAUUUAUUUGGUUUAAAGGGAGCGUAGGUGGAUUGUUAAGUCAGUUGUGAAAGUUUGCGGCUCAACCGUAAAAUUGCAGUUGAAACUGGCAGUCUUGAGUACAGUAGAGGUGGGCGGAAUGCGUGGUGUAGCGGUGAAAUGCUUAGAUAUCACGAAGAACUCCGAUUGCGAAGGCAGCUCACUGGACUGCAACUGACACUGAGGCUCGAAAGUGUGGGUAUCAAACAGGAUUAGAUACCCCUGUAGUC